UAGGUAGGUGGUCUUAUUUGUCUGGGGUGAAAUCCCUGAGCUUAACUCAGGAACCGCCCUAGAAACGGUGAGACUGGAGUACUGGAGAGGGUCGUGGAAUUCCCGGUGUAGCGGUGAAAUGCGUAGAGAUCGGGAGGAACACCAGAGGCGAAGGCGGCGACCUGGACAGUGACUGACACUCAACUACGAAAGCGUGGGGAGCAAACAGGAUUAGAUACCCUGGUAGUCCACGCUGUAAACGAUGGAUACUAGGUUUGGUGGGACUUGACCCCUGCCGAACCGGCGCUAACGCAAUAAGUAUCCCGCCUGGGAAGUACGGUCGCAAGACUAAA
Molecule: ribosomal RNA, 332 nt
Filed under: uncultured bacterium
Lineage: Bacteria
Description: bacterial SSU rRNA
Rfam family: Bacterial small subunit ribosomal RNA
Source: RNAcentral